RNAcentral lists this transfer RNA (73 nucleotides) under Daphnia magna. RNAcentral describes it as "tRNA-Phe". It matches the Rfam family "tRNA". From Rfam's summary of the family: Transfer RNA (tRNA) molecules are approximately 80 nucleotides in length. Their secondary structure includes four short double-helical elements and three loops (D, anti-codon, and T loops). The record is from Rfam by way of RNAcentral. Lineage: Eukaryota; Metazoa; Arthropoda; Branchiopoda; Diplostraca; Daphniidae.
GCCGAAAUAGCUCAGUUGGGAGAACGUUAGACUAAAGAUCUAAAGGUCCCUGGUUCGAUCCCAGGUUACGGCA